UACAGAGGUCUCAAGCGUUGUUCGGAUUCAUUGGGCGUAAAGGGUGUGUAGGUGGCGCGCUAAGUCGGGUGUGAAAUUUCGGAGCUUAACUCCGAAACUGCAUUCGAUACUGCCGUGCUUGAGGACUGGAGAGGAGACUGGAAUUUACGGUGUAGCGGUGAAAUGCGUAGAUAUCGUAAGGAAGACCAGUGGCGAAGGCGGGUCUCUGGACAGUUCCUGACGCUGAGGCACGAAGGCUAGGGGAGCAAACGGG
This 253-nucleotide ribosomal RNA is filed under the name uncultured bacterium. Its description in RNAcentral is "partial 16S ribosomal RNA". It matches the Rfam family "Bacterial small subunit ribosomal RNA", at positions 524 to 776 of the family's 1533-position model. The record is from RNAcentral.